RNAcentral lists this ribosomal RNA (433 nucleotides) under uncultured bacterium. RNAcentral's name for it is "partial 16S ribosomal RNA". It matches the Rfam family "Bacterial small subunit ribosomal RNA", at positions 29 to 507 of the family's 1533-position model. The record is from RNAcentral.
AACGAACGCUGGCGGCAUGCCUAACACAUGCAAGUCGAACGAGACCUUCGGGUCUAGUGGCGCACGGGUGCGUACCGACGGGGAAGCUGCCCUUAGGUUCCGAAUAACUCCCCGAAAGGGGUGCUAAUAAAGGAUAAUGUCGUCGGACCAAGGAUUUAUCGCCUUUGGAUGGGCCCGCGUUGGAUUAGCUAGUUGGUAGGGUAAAAGCCUACCAAGGCGACGAUGCAUAGCUGGUCUGAGAGGAUGCUCAGCCACACUGGGAAUGAGACACGGCCCAGACUCCUACGGGAGGCAGCAGUAGGGAAUAUUGGACAAUGGGCGAAAGCCUGAUCCAGCCAUGCCGCGUGAGUGAUGAAGGCCUUAGGGUUGUAAAGCUCUUUUACCCGGGAUGAUAAUGACAGUACCGGGAGAAUAAGCUCCGGCUAACUCCGUG